UGAGGAAUAUUGGACAAUGGACGAAAGUCUGAUCCAGCCAUGCCGCGUGCAGGAAGACGGCCCUCUGGGUUGUAAACUGCUUUUAUACGGGAAUAAACCCCCCGACGUGUCGGGGGCUGAAUGUACCGUACGAAUAAGCACCGGCUAACUCCGUG
RNAcentral lists this ribosomal RNA (155 nucleotides) under uncultured bacterium. Its description in RNAcentral is "partial 16S ribosomal RNA". It matches the Rfam family "Bacterial small subunit ribosomal RNA", at positions 355 to 507 of the family's 1533-position model. The record is from RNAcentral.